UACGUAGGUGGCAAGCGUUGUCCGGAUUUAUUGGGUUUAAAGGGUGCGUAGGCGGCCCUGUAAGUCAGCGCUGAAAUAUCCCGGCUUAACCGGGAGGGUGGCAUUGAUACUGCAGGGCUUGAGUAAAGUUGAGGUUGGCGGAAUUGACGGUGUAGCGGUGAAAUGCUUAGAUAUCGUCAAGAACACCUAUUGCGAAGGCAGCUAACUAAGCUUUAACUGACGCUGAGGCACGAAAGUGUGGGGAUCAAACAGG
Molecule: ribosomal RNA, 253 nt
Filed under: uncultured bacterium
Lineage: Bacteria
Description: partial 16S ribosomal RNA
Rfam family: Bacterial small subunit ribosomal RNA
Source: RNAcentral